This 131-nucleotide ribosomal RNA is filed under the name Bacillus subtilis. Its description in RNAcentral is "partial 16S ribosomal RNA". It matches the Rfam family "Bacterial small subunit ribosomal RNA", at positions 1 to 127 of the family's 1533-position model. The record is from RNAcentral. Lineage: Bacteria; Bacillati; Bacillota; Bacilli; Caryophanales; Bacillaceae.
UUUAUCGGAGAGUUUGAUCCUGGCUCAGGACGAACGCUGGCGGCGUGCCUAAUACAUGCAAGUCGAGCGGACAGAUGGGAGCUUGCUCCCUGAUGUUAGCGGCGGACGGGUGAGUAACACGUGGGUAACCU